Anopheles merus is the source of this 520-nucleotide long non-coding RNA. RefSeq lists it as uncharacterized. NCBI's taxonomy places the organism in Eukaryota, Metazoa, Arthropoda, Insecta, Diptera, Culicidae. The transcript has 3 exons. The record is from RefSeq and is a predicted model, not a curated record.
GUGCUCCCCGCCUGCAGUCCCGCCGUUCACAUCCACGCGCGAUUUCACCCGCACGCACACGUACCAUGCACACUCAGCUGCCGGACGGGUUUGUUCCCCUACGAUCGGCUUAAGCGCGCUCAGUUACAGUGCAGGAGCUCUGGCGACCGGAACGCGCGCUGGUCCAGUGUCUGAGUGUCGGUGGAACGUUUGUUAAAAAGCUCGCGAGUGCUCCCACCCUCGUUGUCUGUCGAAUGUCUGUCUGUGUUUUGUGGGUCGCAAUAACGGAGGUGGAAUAAUAGUACGAGAAGGGAACGUAAAGAGAAACAAAAUAGUGCCAAACAGCAAGUGCGAACGCCGCACUGUGUCCGCGUGUGUACUCUUCUUGGACCCUUCGUGUGUGUGGUUUGCUGGUGUAUCGUGCUGCAAAAGGUGUACGGCAAAAAAAAAACAAAAAAAAAAAAUAAUUCGUUCUGAAAGAUCAACUCAAGGUAAUACAUAGGCGAUACUCGUUGUCAUCGUUAAAUUUCUAAUCAAAUCG